GCCCCCUGUCCCUGCGGAAGCAGCGGGAGGGCAGGGUCCGAUGUCCGGGUUUCUAUGCCAGGCAGGGAUGAUGAUCCCUGUCACCGGAUGAUCUUAUCCCUGUACCCUCAGCGCCGCCGUCUGCAGUGGAAAAUGCUGUUACUGCUCGGAGGUGUCUAGCUCUCUGACCCAGGAUGGAGUGCAGUGGUGUGAUCACAGCUCAUUGCAGUCUCCAACUCCCAGGCUCAAACCAUCCUCCAGCCUCAGCCUCCCAAGUAACUGGGACCACAGGCACGUACCACCAUGCCUGGCUAAUUUUUACCAUUCCAGGCACUGGAGCCAUCAGAGUACAAAACAGACGCAAACUUCUGUCCUCUUGAAGUCCACUCUGGGAGACAGGCGAUGACACACACAACAUAUGUAUCAAAGUGAGCUGGGAGCCUUGUGAGGCUUUGAGCAGAGGAAGGACAUGGUCUGGCUCUGGCUGCCGAGUGGAGCAGGAAGAGAAAGAAGGUGAAGGGGAUGCUGCUGUCACCAGAGCCCCAGGUGAUGCUUGGUGGAUUGCACACGGGUAGAAAGAAGUGAUCCGGAUCAGGACAUAACUUGAAAAAGGAGCUAUUCCCUGUGCUGAGCUUAGAAACAGGUUUCUGGGCGGGGCGCGGUGGCUCAUGCCUGUAAUCCCACCACUUUGGGAGGCCAAGACAGGUGGAUCACAAGGUCAGGAGUUCAAGACCAGCUUGGCCAAGAUGGUGAAAUCCCAUCUCUACUAAAAAUACAAAAAUCAGCCGGGAGUGGUGGCGGG
RNAcentral lists this long non-coding RNA (781 nucleotides) under Homo sapiens (human). RNAcentral describes it as "HSALNT0263265". The record is from RNAcentral. Lineage: Eukaryota; Metazoa; Chordata; Mammalia; Primates; Hominidae.